Molecule: ribosomal RNA, 301 nt
Filed under: uncultured bacterium
Lineage: Bacteria
Description: partial 16S ribosomal RNA
Rfam family: Bacterial small subunit ribosomal RNA
Source: RNAcentral
CAGUAGCCACGGUAAUACGGAGGGUGCAAGCGUUAAUCGGAAUUACUGGGCGUAAAGCGCACGCAGGCGGUCUGACAAGUCAGAUGUGAAAUCCCCGGGCUUAACCUGGGAACUGCAUUUGAAACUGUCAGGCUGGAGUCUUGUAGAGGGGGGUGGAAUUCCAGGUGUAGCGGUGAAAUGCGUAGAGAUCUGGAGGAAUACCGGUGGCGAAGGCGGCCCCUGGACAAAGACUGACGCUCAGGUGCGAAAGCGUGGGGAGCAAACAGGAUUAGAGACCCCUGUAGUCCCUGUCUCUUAUACA